This 253-nucleotide ribosomal RNA is filed under the name uncultured bacterium. RNAcentral's name for it is "partial 16S ribosomal RNA". It matches the Rfam family "Bacterial small subunit ribosomal RNA", at positions 524 to 776 of the family's 1533-position model. The record is from RNAcentral.
UACGUAGGGGGCAAGCGUUGUCCGGAUUUAUUGGGCGUAAAGAGCGUGUAGGCGGCCUGAAAGGUCAGCUGUGAAAACUCGAGGCUCAACCUCGAGACGUCGGUUGAAACCAUCUGGCUAGAGUCCGGAAGAGGAGUGUGGAAUUCCCGGUGUAGCGGUGAAAUGCGCAGAUAUCGGAAGGAACACCGAUGGCGAAAGCAGCGUGCUGGACCUUUUCUGACGCUGAGGCGCGAAAGCCAGGGGAGCAAACGGG